RNAcentral lists this ribosomal RNA (467 nucleotides) under uncultured bacterium. Its description in RNAcentral is "partial 16S ribosomal RNA". It matches the Rfam family "Bacterial small subunit ribosomal RNA", at positions 28 to 507 of the family's 1533-position model. The record is from RNAcentral.
GAUGAACGCUGGCGGCGUGCUUAACACAUGCAAGUCGAACGGAAAGGCCCAAGCUUGCUUGGGUACUCGAGUGGCGAACGGGUGAGUAACACGUGGGUGAUCUGCCCUGCACUUCGGGAUAAGCCUGGGAAACUGGGUCUAAUACCGGAUAGGACCACUUCUUGGAUGUUGUGGUGGAAAGUUUUUUCGGUGUGGGAUGAGCUCGCGGCCUAUCAGCUUGUUGGUGGGGUAAUGGCCUACCAAGGCGUCGACGGGUAGCCGGCCUGAGAGGGUGUACGGCCACAUUGGGCCUGAGAUACGGCCCAGACUCCUACGGGGGGCAGCAGUGGGGAAUAUUGCACAAUGGGCGCAAGCCUGAUGCAGCGACGCCGCGUGGGGGAUGACGGCCUUCGGGUUGUAAACUCCUUUCGCUAGGGACGAAGCGUUUUGUGACGGUACCUGGAGAAGAAGCACCGGCUAACUACGUG